Molecule: long non-coding RNA, 1286 nt
Filed under: Homo sapiens (human)
Lineage: Eukaryota; Metazoa; Chordata; Mammalia; Primates; Hominidae
Description: non-protein coding lnc-WRNIP1-40:1
Source: RNAcentral
CUCCUCGAUCACUCAUUCUGAGAAGCCAGCUGUCACACGAUCAGCCCUAUGGAGAGGUCCACCUGGUGAGGAAGGGAGGCCUCCUGCCAACCACCUCAGCAUCAAUUUGCCAGCUAUGCAAGCGAGCCAUCUGGGAAAUGGAUCCUCCUGUCUCAGUCACGGUCUUUGUUGGCACUAGUUGUGAUAAAGAGAAAUAACACUACAAAUUGUUCCGAAGCCUUUGUUAGUGCCUGAAUAUUCUAAAGGCAUUCAAAUCCGAAAUUUCAGCAGUCAUGGUGUCCGAAAAGAUCCACAUCUGUAGGCCAACUUGGGCUAGGGAUGCCGUAUUAGGACCCUGCUGGAGGCCUAGGACAUCAUUCCUGUGUCUUUAGUGUGGAGCAGGAUGGGAAACAUCUGGCAAAUGACAUUGAAAAGUAAGGCCAGCUGCAUGAACAGGCAUCUUAAACAUGACGCUAAGAAAUUCAACAUUUUUUGAGCCUAAGUUUCUGACCUUUAAAGUUAUCUGAUUAGAUUUGUCUUUUAAAAAUAAAAAGAUCAUCAGUGUGGAGGAGACUGGAGAAGAAAAACACAGCAGUCCAGUACACCAAUGAUGAAGUCCAGUGAGAUCUAUGAAGUAUGAGUGUAUCCCAGCCAGGGCCCCCAACAACGAAAUGGGGGAUGAGGGAUGGAGAAGAAGGAGCCAGACGGUUACUUGAGGAGGGUAUUUGCUCAUCACUAGUUCAGCUCUCCACAGAAAAUCGUGAGAUCUUAGUUUUAAGAGAAAUGGGAACUCAGAAGGGCCAGUCCUCUGGAAGGGAUGGGCAUGGCCCUAGAUCCUUCCUUGCUGCUUCAUAGCUGCUUGAGGGGCCUGCAUCAUCAGACUGUUAAGAAUGACAGCAAGUGCUCGUAUGGAAUGGUUCUGUGGUGACUCAUGGGUGCCAGCUGACUCUAGAAAGCAGACAGGCACUAUAGGUAAAGGGCAGGGAUUCAGACAGGCCUGAUGGGCUUUCUGAGAUGUGUAUUUUGGGGGAACAAGCCUUCACGGGAGUGAAAGAAGAGCAAAGAGAUGUGUGGCCCAUUCUCAGGGACUUGUGUGUUCCUCAACCCGCUACCUGAGGGGCCAAAGGCAGAGCUGAAGAGCUUUUUUCAGGAAGGAUUGUGCGAGGUGCUGUGGCAAACAGGAUGAGUUUGUCCAUGGUUUGUUAUAAAAUGCUCUGGCACAGAAGUUAGUUAGCAUUUAAAGAAUGUCAACUUCAUCAAGAAGGUACACUCCAGCAGCUGGUAGGUAGCAUCUAAAAUUAGCAUAA